GCGCCUCUAGCUCAACUGGCAGAGCAACGGACUCUUAAUCCGCAGGUUGGGGGUUCAAGUCCCCCGAGGCGCACCA
This 76-nucleotide transfer RNA is filed under the name Acidimicrobiales bacterium. RNAcentral describes it as "tRNA-Lys". It matches the Rfam family "tRNA". From Rfam's summary of the family: Transfer RNA (tRNA) molecules are approximately 80 nucleotides in length. Their secondary structure includes four short double-helical elements and three loops (D, anti-codon, and T loops). RNAcentral also lists the same sequence under 1 other name. The record is from RNAcentral. Lineage: Bacteria; Bacillati; Actinomycetota; Acidimicrobiia; Acidimicrobiales.